Molecule: long non-coding RNA, 1692 nt
Organism: Capsicum annuum
Lineage: Eukaryota; Viridiplantae; Streptophyta; Magnoliopsida; Solanales; Solanaceae
Exons: 2
Source: RefSeq, a predicted model, not a curated record
UGGACUUAGCAGUAUUCAUAACCAAUACACCUUUUUUUUCCUCCAAAAAUCUAGCUCAGCCUAAUCCCUAUAAAGCCUCCAUUCUGUAGUCGACGAAAUCAAAUUGUUCCAAGUCUCCACAUGUGACAGCCACACCAUAAAAAUUUGUUGAUUUCCUUCAGAAACCUAUAAAGAGCUCCCUUUUUUUCUGGUGUACGUGCUACAAGAAUAGUGGAUGAAGUUGAUGUCAUUGAAUUCGCUCAACAGAUGCUGGGCUUAAAAGAAAACAAGUAUGAAGGAGAUAAAAGCAGAGGAAUGAAACAUGUAGAGAAUAUUCAGAAGAUUAAUCUCCCUAAUUAUCCAGAAAUUAUCUUAUUUAACAUCCUAGUGAAGAUUCCGCCAAGAGACAUUCAUAAGAACGUCAUGCCCAUCUGUAAACAAUGGAAAGAAAUUGUCUCCGGAGGUUAUUUCAUUGAGCAGAAUUUCACGGAGUUGAAGUUAGAAUUAGUGAUACAGUCAGGAUUAGGAAGGCAUAAGAAAACAAAGUUGAUAAAGAUUGGAAUUAGAACUUGAAUGUGAAUCUCUUGAACUUGGACUAAGUAAAUUACGCAAGAUUCAUUCUAGCUGUGGUGGAUUUCUAUUGAUGAGUGAACCAGGAGACUGUGGGAAGCUACAACUGAUAAAUCCAUCAACAAAGUUCUGCCUCACUAUCCCUAGAUGCCCUUCACUUUGCCCACAUAAAGCUUGUAGUGCAGCACUUGCAUUUGAUUCUUGGACAAAACAGUAUAAAGUAGUCCAUGUUGUUACAGAUUCUUAUGGUUUCGAAAUAUUUAAUUUGUGUGGUGGUGAUGAUGAACAUUGGGAACGAAUUCCUGGUCCGUGGGAAGAUCUAAAUGAUCGGCCAUUUGACCCACUCAAAUUUUUCUGGAAGGAUCCAGUGUCGAUAAAUAGAAGGCUUCUGCAUUGGCAUGUUGAUUCAACUAAAUAUUUCAUUUCAAUGCAAGUAGAAGAGGAAAAAUUCAGUAGAAUCUCUCUUCCAGAAGGUGCUAAAGUGAUUAGUAAAACGAAUGGUUAUGCGUUGAUAGACUUGGGUGGAUUCUUUUCUUUUAUCAACUGCAAUUUAGAGAUAAAAAUGGAUGUUUGGAUUUUGGAAGAUUUUCGAGGGCGAGUCGAAAAUAAUUCUGAAUAAGAAAUGGAAUGAUCACUCGCCGAUGAUCAUUUAUGCCAUAUUAUAAGACUUCAUUGUUCAUGAAAUGCACAACAUUUUCCAUUUGAACUUGGUCCAAGAAACAUAGUAUUGUGGCAGAGUUGACAAAUUAUAUCUGUCCACACAAAUCAGCAAGACAGUGUGACAAAAAAUUGCCAAAACUGGGAAAACUAGUUGCUGUAGCUGGAGCGAGGAACGGUGAAGUAUUGAUUCUAAAGCAUAAGACGAACUCUAGCUUAUAUCUAUACGACACGAAGAGUAGAGUGAUGAAGACUUUCAGCAGUAACAUGAAGAAAUUAGAAUCUUUUGUACCUCAAAAGGACAGCCUCUUUUGUAUGAAGAGGAUUUCUGUGUCGUGAUUUAAUUUGGUGUUUAGCUUAGGUUAGAGAUGUGCCUAAAAGGAGUCAUUCUGUCUUGCUUGGGAUUAAGGCGUAAUCUUUACUGGUGUUUUAAGUUAUCCAUUUGGUACCUUGUCUAGAUAAAAUAGUGAGUUUUUCUUGUCUGCA